AGUGAACGCUGGCGGUAGGCCUAACACAUGCAAGUCGAACGGCAGCACAGUAAGAGCUUGCUCUUACGGGUGGCGAGUGGCGGACGGGUGAGGAAUACAUCGGAAUCUACUUUUUCGUGGGGGAUAACGUAGGGAAACUUACGCUAAUACCGCAUACGACUUACGGGUGAAAGCAGGGGAUCUUCGGACCUUGCGCGAUUGAAUGAGCCGAUGUCGGAUUAGCUAGUUGGCGGGGUAAAGGCCCACCAAGGCGACGAUCCGUAGCUGGUCUGAGAGGAUGAUCAGCAACACUGGAACUGAGACACGGUCCAGACUCCUACGGGAGGCAGCAGUGGGGAAUAUUGGACAAUGGGCGCAAGCCUGAUCCAGCCAUACCGCGUGGGUGAAGAAGGCCUUCGGGUUGUAAAGCCCUUUUGUUGGGAAAGAAAAGCAGCAGGUUAAUACCCCGCUGUUCUGACGGUACCCAAAGAAUAAGCACCGGCUAACUUCGUG
This 492-nucleotide ribosomal RNA is filed under the name uncultured bacterium. Its description in RNAcentral is "partial 16S ribosomal RNA". It matches the Rfam family "Bacterial small subunit ribosomal RNA", at positions 29 to 507 of the family's 1533-position model. The record is from RNAcentral.